Molecule: long non-coding RNA, 671 nt
Organism: Monodelphis domestica (gray short-tailed opossum)
Lineage: Eukaryota; Metazoa; Chordata; Mammalia; Didelphimorphia; Didelphidae
Source: RefSeq, a predicted model, not a curated record
UCCCCACCCCAAAGUGGACUUACUCUUAUUUCAUGUAGAUAAUUCUUGUUAAUUCACAGUUUUCAUUCAGAUUUGUAGGAGACCUGGUCUGACUCCCUACUCUGACGUUUCUUAGCUGAAUGACUAUGGGCAAGUGAGUGAUGGCAACUCUUGUCCCUACAUGGACUUCUUUAAAAUAGCUACGGGGAAUCAGAAGCAAGCUUAUAAGCAGUGAAUCCCUUGUAAUGAAGAAUGAAAAAGAAGAGAAAAAAGGCAAUCCAGGAAAACCAGCCAACACAAUCACUACAUCUAACAUCAUAUGCAACAUUUCACACCCACUUCUGCAAAGCAGGAAGAGGUUACUUUUCUCUUUUCUGGAUCAUAAAAAGCCUGGUCAUUAUAAUUAUGGCAUUCCUUUUUUAUUUUUAGUUUAAACAUACUUGUUUAUUAUUUGUCACAUUAAAUUUCCACAAACAUUACCAUUUCUUUCCUUUCUACUAACUUUGUUGUAAUCAUUGCAUACAUUGUUUUCUUGGUUCUGCUUACUACACUUUGUACUAGUUCACAAUUGUCUUCCCAUGUUUCUCUGAAUUCUUCAUAGCCUUGUUUCUUACUAUGUAGCAAUAUUCCAUUAUUUUCAUGUACCACAAAUUGUUUACCUACUUUGUUUCUAGUUCUUUGCUUCUAUUAAA